UUGCAAGACCUGCUAGUAAUCAAAGUAUCCAAGGUACACUGUUUUAUAAGAGGAGGCAGUAAAGCCUCAUAAACCUCAUUGCUGUGGAUUCAAAUCCUAUUCAGAGAGAUGGAUGACUGGUUGUACUUUUAUGUUUAUAUGCAGAGCUUUUUUGAAAAAAUAUGAUCUAAAUGAUCAAAAAUGGUAAAGACAAUAUUACAGAAACAAAUGUUAAACUAUUAACGAUAGGUACAAAGCAAGCUAUGACAGGUGAAGUAAGUAAAGUAAGUUAGGGAUGAAAAAGCACUGAGUUGACUACAGACAUUUACUGUGGAUUUGGCACUGGAAGGACAGUUCGUAAAGUAAAUACACAUCACACUACAUUAUGUAGAUGAAUACUCUGGAUAAAGUAAACUAUAAAUAAAAGUAUGUAAGUAUUAUGAGCAAAACUUGCUUAAGUGAAUAUGAAGAACUUUCAGCUUUUGUGGAUUCUAGCCGCUCCUUUUGACAAAAGCAGUACGAUCAUUACUAGCAAGUGCCGGUGGUGCUACAUUUGUGAUCGCAAUGAGGUCAUUUAUAAUCAUCAGAGGAAUCACAAGAUUGUUUCAUUAGAAGUUCCUCGUAGUCACAAGGGGCACUUUGGCAGCAAAAGACCCCAGGAGGACUUAAACAAGGGACGUUUUCAUGGUCAGUGUUUAUAG
This is a long non-coding RNA of Acanthopagrus latus (yellowfin seabream), 680 nucleotides long. RefSeq lists it as uncharacterized. NCBI's taxonomy places the organism in Eukaryota, Metazoa, Chordata, Actinopteri, Spariformes, Sparidae. The transcript has 3 exons. The record is from RefSeq and is a predicted model, not a curated record.